CGAAACAUUCCAUUUAGAUCUGAGGUGUUGGGUAUUGCAGAACCGUAGCUUCUGAAGCUAUUUCACCCGAUGUUGUCGCCAGCCACACCUAGUAUAUGCGAAUAGAUAUAGAGGAAAUUUGUUGGAGAGACAAAGAGAGUUUAUUUUCUUAAAGCUUAAUUUCUCAGAUACACUCCACACUAUUUUCUUCUGUCACUUUCACUCUCUCAUCUAAAAAAUAAAUCUUAUUGGCCCUCUUAACUAUUUAAUUAUAUCAUCUACACCCCAUUUGUUACUAAUCUAUUUGAAAUAUUGAUGAAAAUCGAUCACGUAUUGUUCACGUGCUUCAAUUAAAUAUCCUUAUAUCCAAAAUACUUAAUUUUUUUAACAUAAAUAAGUCAAUAUUACAUAUACAUGCUUAUACAGCCAUUGUGAGAACAAAUCUAACCCUUAUUAAUAAGCCUUUAUAUAAAGCGUUGACUUAUUUUUCACAAACAAAUAAGGAUAUUUUGGACAUAAAAGCAUAUAAUUAAAGCACAUGAUCGAUUUU
Molecule: long non-coding RNA, 529 nt
Filed under: Actinidia chinensis (golden kiwifruit)
Lineage: Eukaryota; Viridiplantae; Streptophyta; Magnoliopsida; Ericales; Actinidiaceae
Description: long non-coding RNA (ACHI_LNC001005)
Source: RNAcentral